AGAGUUUGAUCCUGGCUCAGGACGAACGCUGGCGGCGCGCCUAACACAUGCAAGUCGAACGGAGCUGAGAGGAGCUUGCUUUUCUUAGCUUAGUGGCGAACGGGUGAGUAACGCGUGAGUAACCUGCCCUGGAGUGGGGGACAACAGUUGGAAACGACUGCUAAUACCGCAUAAGCCCACGGUGCCGCAUGGCACUGCGGGAAAAGGAUUUAUUCGCUUCAGGAUGGACUCGCGUCCAAUUAGCUAGUUGGUGAGGUAACGGCCCACCAAGGCGACGAUUGGUAGCCGGACUGAGAGGUUGAACGGCCACAUUGGGACUGAGACAUGGUCCAAACUCCUACGGGAGGCA
This 349-nucleotide ribosomal RNA is filed under the name uncultured bacterium. RNAcentral's name for it is "bacterial SSU rRNA". It matches the Rfam family "Bacterial small subunit ribosomal RNA", at positions 8 to 350 of the family's 1533-position model. The record is from RNAcentral.